CUUCCCAGAAGUUCCCAGCAACUCUCAUUUAUGCGUAGCCACAAGGCAUGAUGGGAAAUGAGUAUGUGGCAUUUUGAGCCUCCAUCAUGGAAACAGGCUCCACCCAGAGGAAGCAGCGGGUAGAUCUGGCUAUUGGAUAUGUUGCACGGUCUAAUCGAUAGACCCAGAAAAGGAAGAUAGAUCUCGGUGUCAGCAUGGAGGGAACAUGCAUGGGGUGCUGGAUUCUAGAUCAGGUCCAAGUUCUUCCCUUCCUUCAAGCUCCGAAUCAACUUCUACCUUCCACAUGCAGCCUUCCUUGUCUUUCUUUGGCUGAAUCUCUGUAGCACUUAGAGUCUAUAUUCAAAAGCUUGAUUACUAACAUUACUGUUUUUUUCCCCUUCUAGUAGUGUUAGGUGUGCAAACCCUACUUCCUGAGGUAGCUUUUCUGUUUCUUGACUGUCAUAAGGACGUUUGUGUCUUUCCCUUAUUCCCUGUGGUGCCCAGAUUAGUUCUGAAGACACAGGAGGGACUGAAUACAUUUUUGGCAUUGGUUGAUUUAUUGAAAGUUCAGAAUGUCAGGGAAACAUGUUGAACCAAACACAAGCAAGUAGUUUUGCCACUCUAAGUAAAAUGCAGGUAUUCAGUGGGGACUUGGGAUUGAGGGUGGAAAGGUAGACUUUGAGAGAAGUCAGAAGGAAAAAAAAAGUAUUUGGCUAGAGCUACAACUGAUGGAUAAAGGCAGCCCUAUUUGGAAGAGAUGAUGGGUUCUUUAGAAACAAUGCUGGAGUCCUAGUUUUGGGUUUUGGGUUUUCACUACAUCACUACUGGUAUGUGCCCUGGAGAAACCAUGUAACCUCUCUGGGCCCCUGUUUCUUUGAUUAUAAAAUGAGAAGCUUAGAUGACAUCUAAUGCCCCACUGGUUCUAAAACUGUGUUUCUAAGGAGAGGAAUAAGCAAUUUUAGACAAUGCAGGGUGGACAAAUUCCUGGGAUUCCAGAAGUUCCUUUUCUGUCCCCCAAAGUGUAAAAGAAAUAGUGUGUGAUGAAGCACUUACCCUGCUCUAUCCUUGAUUUGCUAUGUGCCACCCAUUCAUUCACACAACAAACGUUGAUGAAGCCCUACAAUGUGGCAGGCACAGGGCUAGUUCUGGCGAUGGAAUGGUGGAUGAAACUGACACGUCCCUAUGCCUUGGGAUUUACAACCUAGUGGGAGAAAACAGACACAGAAAUGUAAAGCUACAGCUGUGAUGAGUGCUAGGAAGGACAUAUAGAUGAUGGGUGAAAGGAAUCUGACUCGGACUAGAGUCUGGGAGGGCUUCUGAGUGGAAAUUAUCUAGGAGACCAGCAGAUGGAGGAAGAGAGCACCCGAGAAGGUGCUUUGGUGAAAGGUAGAAUGGCAAGUUUGGAAAACAGAAAGAAGAGUGCAGUUGGAACUUAGAGGGUUAAAGAGGGUGAUUUAGAUAACGUGAGAGGGAUGGGGUCAGAUUACGGGGGACCUUGUCAAACAUGGUAAGAACACUGUUCUUUAUUGUAAGAGCAGUAAGAAGCCACGAGUCGGAGAGUGGGGUGAUCAGCGGGUGGUAAGUGGAUUUGAGAGAGGCUGGAGUGGGCACGACGAGUCAGAUCAAGGGAGGAAUCCAGGUGAGUGACAGCCACAGCUUGGUGACUGUGUUAUAAACACAUUUCCUCCCUACCUAGGGAGAAAAUGCUAGAAACAAAGUGAUAGAGCCCUUCAGGUUCUCAGUUUCCUCUUUGCAAAAGAAAGGCUGGACUCAACAUUAGGAAGCUUUCCGGCAAUUUCUGUGGUUUGGGGGAAUGGAAAUACUUUGGGGAAGAGUGUAUUGCUGUGUGACCACAUGACUGGUGUGUAGCAUGCACUCUCACAUGCUGCUUUUUGGGUGGGGCUUUUCCUGGAUGUGGGGUUCUCUCUGAACUCCUCAGAUGAGACAUACUUUAUACCAGUGCUUCAGACUUCAUUGCAGAACUUCUGACAACCGUAUUUUAUAAUUUUUACUUUGACUCAAAUUGUAACAUAGGAUGAGAGGUUAUUUAGUUUUCCUCUGACAAAACCUUCCUCUACUUUUUUUUU
Balaenoptera musculus (blue whale) is the source of this 2066-nucleotide long non-coding RNA. RefSeq lists it as uncharacterized. Lineage: Eukaryota; Metazoa; Chordata; Mammalia; Artiodactyla; Balaenopteridae. The transcript has 3 exons. The record is from RefSeq and is a predicted model, not a curated record.